RNAcentral lists this small RNA (549 nucleotides) under Pan troglodytes (chimpanzee). Its description in RNAcentral is "processed transcript". Lineage: Eukaryota; Metazoa; Chordata; Mammalia; Primates; Hominidae. The record is from RNAcentral.
AGCUUUUUCCCUAAAGGAAAUACCUUGGUUUGGUGUGGUGACUCAUUCCUGUAAUCCCAGUACUUUGGGAGGCUGAAGCCUGCUGAAGCAGGCAGAUCGCUUGAGCCCAGGAGUUCAAGACCAGCCUGGGAAACAUACUGAAACCCCGUCUCUACAAAAAAUACAAAAAUUAGCCGGGUGUGGUCGUGCAGCGCCUGUAAUCCCAGCUACUCAGGAGGUCAAGGUAGGAGAAUCACUUGAGCCUGGGAGCUCGAGGCUGUAGUGAGCCGAGAUCACGCCACUGCAUUCCAGCCUGGGUGACAGAGCAAGACCCUGUCUCAAAAAAAAAAAAAAAAAAAAAAAAAAAGGAAAUACCCAGGAUUGCUACAAAGAAAGCAGCUGCCAGAAAUUCGUUGGAUUUGAGGAGUCCAGAGCGCCGACCCGCUCUGUCUGCGUGGACUUAUUUCCUUGGAUCUUCGUGGACCCUGAAGUUGCCAAGUGUAUGUGCCUGCUCCAGAAAACAAAGGAAGCCACCAUUUUUUCUCAUUCACAGCGCAGGGAGAUACCUCA